GGCUGGGCGAGAGGCAGCCCCUGGCUGGUGCGGCAGGCACGACCUCCCCCCUCACCUCACAUGCCGCGAGCGUCGAGUGCCGGGUCCUAAAGUCUCCUCUACAACCUCUGGGCUCGAAAUCUGGACACAGGUAUAUUUAAAAAAUCCCGUUAUGGUUCUGUCUUUACUCCUUUUGAGAGUCAUCCUUUUCCCCCUGCCCACAGAAGGAAUUCGGAGAUAAGACCUAUUAUUAUAGUACGCUGUCCAGACACGACAUAACCUUGGGUACGUGGGUGCCCUCUCUCUCCCUCUCUUUCCUAAACUAAGGGGAAAAAAAAGUGUGGAGUCUUUGUUGACAUGUGCCAGCUGGAUAAAGAAAAUAAUACUAAGAAAAAUAAUAAAUAAAAAAUUAUUUUUUAUUAUUUUAUAACAUUAUUAUUAUUAUUAUUAUUAUUGGUACUGAAAAUUGAAUCCAGGAGCACUUUACCACUGAGCUACAUCCCCAGUAUUGGUUUAUUGGUUUAGAGACACAGUCUCACUAAAUUGCUGAGGCUGUCCUGGAACUUUGGAUCCUCCUGCCUCAGCCUCCUGAACUGCUUAGAUUACAGGUGUGUGCCUUCAUGCCCGACUAGGCAUUGUUUUUAAUCUCCACUUUCAGAUGAAAAAAAAAAAACCAAGCUCAGAUACUGGAAGCAGCAUUAUGACUUCAUGUCAGAUUGUGUAUCAUCCAUUAACAAAUAUUUAUAGUUCUCUCGUUAAUGUGUGUAAACUGCUAUUCUGGGCACUAGACCUACAACCAUGCACAACAACAGGUAGAUUCUGAUCUUAGUCUGGAGUCUAGAAGUUUCUAAGUCCCAAAUCUGUUAGGGAUGUGCUAUGGGAUCAACUCUGGACUUAGUAUCUCCUCCCUGGAGUCCACAUUUACCAAAAUGGGUCCUAGGUCAGUUUUUACUGGACUUUCUUUGUUGAUGGGAAAUAUUGCGUUUGAAGUACAGACAAGGAUUGGGGGUGUAACCCAGUGCUAGAGUGCUUGCCUAGAGAGCAUGCACAAAGCUCAGAGUUUGAUCCCUGGCACUGAAGGAAAGAAAAGGAACUUGGCUCACUUCUGACUUCAAAUAAAAACCAAGUUGAAUCAAUUAAACAUCACAAAGGACAGAAAAGCUAGUAGUAGUAAAAUUCAUCAUUAAAUAAUUUUUUAUAAAAGCUAGAUUCUUUUCUUCAUAUUAUUAAGAAAUGUAAAAACUGGGGAAGAGCUCGAAAUCCCAGCUACUUGGGAGGCUGAGGCAGGAUGAUUGAAACUUUCAAGCCACCUGGACAACUUAGUGAGACCUGUCUCAAAAUAAACUUUGAAAAGGGUUGGGCAGGUACUUCAGUGAUAGAGCACUUGACUAGCAUCCACAAGCCCCUGGGUUCAAUCUCUAGUACCUCUCCCCCCACACACACUAAAGAAGCCACAUGUCCUAGUCAACCACCAGCCCUAUGGCAAGACAAUUUGACAAUCUUCUCAUCUCUACUCCAGUCUACCCCUACAGAACCUUGACUUGGCUUCACCUAGAGACAAAGUGCUGCUUUUACCCACAGAACAUUAAUAGCCUUUGGGUACAUUUGGAAGGAGGAGGAGAUAAUUUAUGAGGGGAUCUAUGAUGCUCUUGUGAUGCCACAUGCUCCUUCUUUAUCCAGCUGGCACAUGUCAACAAAGACUCUACACUUUCUUUUCCCUUAGUUUAGUUUUGUUUUUUGAUGCUGGGGAUUGAAACCAGAGGUACUUUACCACUGAGCUACAUCCUCAGCCCUUUUUAUUUAUUUUUUCAUUUUGAGACAGAGUCUUGCUAGGCCCUCGAUAAACUGCUGAGUCUGGUCUCGAACUUGUGAUCCACCUGUCUCAGCCUGCUGAGUUGCUGAGAUUACAAGUAUGUGCUGCUGCACCUGAUGAGACUCCACAGUUCUGUAUCUGUCAUGAAAAUACAAAUUAGAUACUGGAAAAUUCUUUAGUAGAAUUUUUAAAGUAGUCAUGGCAAGGGCUCCUCUUGUCACUUAUUUGGACAGUGAGUCAACAAGCAUUUACUGAGUGCCACCAAGGUCCAGGCCAUGUGCUAUAGAUCAGGUAUAGCUUCCCCAAGGAGCUGGUAUUCUGGUUGAGGAGAUAGAUGGCAGUCAAGGAGUCCUGUUCAGCUCCAAGUUACCCUUCUGGAAAGUUCUGAAGCAGAAGAGGGGUCCAUGAUAGUGAGUGAGAAGGUAUUUGACCCCUUCUCUGGAUUGCAGUCAGAGCAGGUUUCCUGAGCUAGGUAAAGGCAGCAGGAAGAGAUGAGAGAGUGUUCUGGAAAACAUACAAUAGUGCAAAGACCCAGUGGCAGAAAGAAGUUUGGUCCUUCCAGGAACAGAGGGGGGUCAGUGUGUCUACAGGGAGAAAGCCUGAAGGGCAAGGUGGGAGGGAGAGCCCCCAGGGGUGAACCUGGCUUCAGGAAUCCAGGGCUCUGAGGCCUAGGUUCUGUGCCCUGGAGGGCUCCUCAAAGUUCACAGCAAAUAAAAUAUAACAGAUCCUAAUUUUCUGCAGAAGGAAGGACAAGAAAAGGAAUAGUUAAAAAAAAAAAGUCUCCUGAUGUGUACCUGAGAUGUUCACUGGGAAUAUCCAAAAUAAAAUAGCAUCAAAACAGAUGUUAUUUUAAAUAGGAUAUUUCAAGAAGUGAGUGGGUGACAGACUGUGAACUCGCCCAGGAACCCUGACUUUGCAGUGUCGAAUUGGAAUCACACUGCAUGUGGAAUCCAAGAUCUCGUUCUAGACUUCUUGAUACCUCUGAGCCUUGGUUUCCCCAUAGGAACAAUAAAACUUGCAGACCUCUGUUGCAGGAUGGCUCUGAGGAGCCAGAGAGAUUAUCAGCAUUAAAGGGCCAACGCCCCUCCCCCUCCCCCGCACAGCCUUCACACAGUGCUACCCUUUGUUCUAUAUUCUUGUUUUGCAUUUACUGAGAUCGAUGCAUGCACGGCACCAUGUAGAGUUCUCAGGAAUUUUCACUUCAGGCCAACGAGGUCGGUGCUAUUAUUAUCAUUUUCCCGGGGCUCAGGCAGGUCAAGUCACGCUUUAAGCGCAGGCGCAUGACUGGACAAGCACACUGACUUCCUGAUGCUCAAGAGGAAUACUCCAGCGCCCAGGAACAGCCUCAGGAACCUGACCUAAGGAGACGUUUGGCUAUAUGGACAACUUGUCGGACGUGCACCAACGGGAAGCCCAACCCGUGGGAUUUUGAACCCAGACGAAGUCACUAUCUACAACUGCAGCCCAGGAUCAGGACCUGGCGUUGCUGUAGGUGCAGGGCGCAGGGCUCCCCGAAACCUUGUCGCUGGCGCGCAGGUGCACCUACCUGCGCAUGCGCGGCCGGCGCCUCUGCAGAGCUGGGUGCGCGCCAGCAGCUGGGGGGCGGGGGAAGAAUCCUGAGAUCUAGGGGCCGGUCACGUGACGGCGGGAGUCCUCCUGGUGAGCAGAUGGAUGCGGGUAGAUACUAGGGGAAAGGACAACUUGAGAGGGAUCUGUCCAGAAAUAUGCAGAAGAACAAGAAGUAGUCUCGAACCAGAAAAAAAAGAGGAGCUGGUUGCGGCUGCCUUCGCCAGGCCUACUGAGCCACCUACCUGAAUGCUUGGGCCCUCACACACGCUGGGUGCCUUGGAGAGCCCCGAGUACAGGGUUUCGGCCACUUCUCCCACUUUCCUCCCUUCUGCUUCCAACGACGGCCCCCAGUGCUAGGGAUUGAACCCAGGACCCUGGGAAGGAAAGCUUUCUACAGCAGAGCCACAUCCCUAGGCUUCCGCCCUUGUGCUUUUAAGCUACAUCAUCAGCCUUAUUUUCCCAUGCUCAUCUCCCACCCGCUCUUCCUGACCUCGGAGCCAUUAUAGAUCCCCUACACUCUUUUAGGAGCAGUUACAAAAGAAUUCUAACAAUAUUUAUAAAGUACUUUACCCAAUACUGGGAACCUGGUGUGAAUUCAGCAGAAUGUUACCUAUUAAUAUCAUUGUUAAGGAAUGACGCAUCUUGAGGCAGAAAUUGGUGCAAAAUAUGUAUGAGUUCUGUAUGCUAAAUAUGUAUGAGAGGGGCUGGGGAUGUGGUUCAAGCGGUAGCGCGCUCCCCUGGCAUGCGUGCGGCCCGGGUUCGAUCCUCAACACCACAUACAAAGAGUGUGUCCGCCGAAAACUAAAAAAAAUAUAUAAAAAAAAAGAACAGAAUAGAGUUUAAAAAAAAAUGAGCUGGAGAUGUGGUUCAAGC
This 4234-nucleotide long non-coding RNA is filed under the name Marmota monax (woodchuck). The record is from RNAcentral. Lineage: Eukaryota; Metazoa; Chordata; Mammalia; Rodentia; Sciuridae.